AGCUUACAUAACAUUCUGACAGCCCUGCAUACUGAGUUAAGUAAAAUAUCCUUGGCACAAAUAUACAUAACUCUAAAUCUAUUGGAACAAAAGUUAAAACCAGUGUGGUUCUAAGAACUACAUUAGUAGAUAUGAAUUCAGAAACUUAUGGCCUCAAGAAACAGCAUAAGGGACUUACAGAGCACUUGGAAAGUAGAAAGAAGAAGGACUUUUGAAAAAACACAAGAGGUCUGACUAUAGAGUCAUGGCAAUAUUUACCUAAAGGCUCCAUUUGAUGGACACAGAGUCUGAAUAAAGGAAGAUUGGCUUCUACUAACACCGAUCAUCCACACCAUGCUGAGGGCCAGAUGAAAUUGUUUGGGAGGAACUGAAACAAAAUCUACACAGUUGCUCAUAAGUUCCAUACUAGAGAUCAAUUUAAUCAACUCACUUAAAUGUGAGCAAAUAAAACACUGCAUUUUAUCCUGAUUUUUAAAAAUCAUUAUUAUUGUUACGUACAAUAGAAAUCAGUUACUUAGGAUUUUCUUAAGAAUUUUUAUCUGUCAUUACAAAUGAAGAAGUCCUGUAAUUUCCUUGCUUUGUAUUUUCUGAGUACACUUUGUUAAUUAAAGUAACAACGGGUUAGAAAAGCGAUUUGGGUAAUUUUUGCUCUUUUAUAAUUUGUUGUGACAACUUGUAGAAGAUAAUUACAUAUGCUUAAAACAUUUAGGAAAACUGACCUGUGAAGCUAUGGGCAUCUUUUUAAUAAGUUAAGUAGUCUUUGACUACCACUUUAAUUAUUAUUUAUUAAUCUAUUUAGUGGUUUUUAUUCUUUUUGCAACAAGUUAGUGUUUUUAUUUAUUAGAUACUUUUUAAUAUUUAAUGGUAUAUUAAUAUUGUAUAUCCAUGUUGACAUCAUACUUAUAUAAAAUGCAUCCAGUUCAAGUGUACAGUUUAACUUGUAAAAAACCAAAUAUAUCAUCUGUAUAAUCGCCCCUACCAUCAAGAUUCCCUGAAACCAAAACAAUACUGUAUCAUAUUUAAAAUGAAAUAUAUGAAAUAUAUAAUCAAUACCUGUUUUGAAAUUGAUUGCAUUUUGAAAAUAUAUUGAUUAUAUGUGAAAAUAUUUUAGAUACAUUAGGUUAAAUAAAAAUUUAAAGUUGUACAUAUGUCCAAAAUUAUAUUUCUGUUGGACAGUGGUGGUCAAAAUGCCACAUUAACUCUAAUUUUCAAAAGUGUAGUACUAAUAUAAGAAUAUAAUUUUAAAAGAAAUUAUAUCAUCUUGAAUUUUUAAAUAAAUUUAACAUUAUGCCCAGAAUAAGUCAAAAUGUUCCAUUUUUCCUUCUGUUCAUUAACAAAACCUUUAUUUAAAAAUAUUUUAAGACUUCAGACUAUUUUUCUAUCUGUACCUAUUAUUAUUUUGGGUGUGG
Heterocephalus glaber (naked mole-rat) is the source of this 1409-nucleotide long non-coding RNA. The record is from Ensembl. Lineage: Eukaryota; Metazoa; Chordata; Mammalia; Rodentia; Bathyergidae.